Molecule: ribosomal RNA, 199 nt
Filed under: uncultured bacterium
Lineage: Bacteria
Description: partial 16S ribosomal RNA
Rfam family: Bacterial small subunit ribosomal RNA
Source: RNAcentral
ACGCUCGACACCUACGGGGGCAGCAGUGGGGAAUAUUGCACAAUGGGGGAAACCCUGAUGCAGCGACGCCGCGUGGAGGAAGAAGGUCUUCGGAUUGUAAACUCCUGUUGUUGGGGAAAAAGAGGAUGGUACCCAACAAGGAAGUGACGGCUAACUACGUGCCAGCAGCCGACGGUAAUCUGAGGCGGGCUGGCAAGGC